GACAGAGGUGGCGAGCGUUGUUCGGAAUCAUUGGGCUUAAAGAGCACGUAGGCGGCCCGUCAAGUGUCUUGUGAAAUCCCUCGGCUCAACCGAGGAAUUGCUGGGCAUACUGUCGGGCUUGAGGUAGGUAUGGGCGAGUGGAACUCUUGGUGGAGCGGUGGAAUGCGUAGAUAUCAAGAGGAACGCCGGUGGUGAAGACGAUUCGCUGGGCCUAUCCUGACGCUGAGGUGCGAAAGCCAGGGGAGCAAACGGG
RNAcentral lists this ribosomal RNA (253 nucleotides) under uncultured bacterium. RNAcentral's name for it is "partial 16S ribosomal RNA". It matches the Rfam family "Bacterial small subunit ribosomal RNA", at positions 524 to 776 of the family's 1533-position model. The record is from RNAcentral.